This is a non-coding RNA of Aedes aegypti (yellow fever mosquito), 66 nucleotides long. The record is from Rfam. NCBI's taxonomy places the organism in Eukaryota, Metazoa, Arthropoda, Insecta, Diptera, Culicidae.
UGCCCAGCAACUUCUAUCACUACCUCCUCGUGGUACUGACCGGGGUACGAGCAACCUUAGGGAAGA